Molecule: ribosomal RNA, 491 nt
Filed under: uncultured bacterium
Lineage: Bacteria
Description: partial 16S ribosomal RNA
Rfam family: Bacterial small subunit ribosomal RNA
Source: RNAcentral
GAUGAACGCUGGCUACAGGCUUAACACAUGCAAGUCGAGGGGAAACGACGGGGAAGCUUGCUUCCCCGGGCGUCGACCGGCGCACGGGUGAGUAACGCGUAUCCAACCUGCCUCUGACUGAGGGAUAACCCGUCGAAAGUCGGCCUAAUACCUCAUGGCAUCGUCUGCGGGCAUCCAACGACGAUUAAAGAUUUCAUCGGUCAGAGAUGGGGAUGCGUCUGAUUAGCUUGUUGGCGGGGUAACGGCCCACCAAGGCGACAAUCAGUAGGGGUUCUGAGAGGAAGGUCCCCCACAUUGGAACUGAGACACGGUCCAAACUCCUACGGGAGGCAGCAGUGAGGAAUAUUGGUCAAUGGGCGAGAGCCUGAACCAGCCAAGUAGCGUGCAGGAUGACGGCCCUAUGGGUUGUAAACUGCUUUUAUGCGGGGAUAAAGUGAGGGACGUGUCCUUCAUUGCAGGUACCGCAUGAAUAAGGACCGGCUAAUUCCGUG